This 283-nucleotide ribosomal RNA is filed under the name Gambusia holbrooki (eastern mosquitofish). RNAcentral describes it as "partial 12S ribosomal RNA". Lineage: Eukaryota; Metazoa; Chordata; Actinopteri; Cyprinodontiformes; Poeciliidae. The record is from RNAcentral.
GGUUUACGACCUCGAUGUUGGAUCAGGAUUAGACCCCCCUAGAGGAGCCUGUUCUAGAACCGAUAACCCCCGUUGACCUCACCUNNUUUCUUNGUCUAUNCCCGCCUAUAUACCGCCGUCGUCAGCUUACCCUGUGAAGGAUUAAUAGUAAGCAAAACUGGUAANAACCCAAANNACGCCAGGUCGAGNGUGUAGCUANCGAAGGAAAGAAAUGGGCUACAUUUCCUUCCCCCAGGANAACACGAAUUGUGCUAUGAAANNAUACACAUGAAGGUGGAUUUAG